UAGGGAAUCUUCGGCAAUGGGGGCAACCCUGACCGAGCAACGCCGCGUGAGUGAAGAAGGUUUUCGGAUCGUAAAGCUCUGUUGUAAGAGAAGAACGUGUGUGAGAGUGGAAAGUUCACACAGUGACGGUAACUUACCAGAAAGGGACGGCUAACUACGUGCCAGCAGCCGCGGUAAUACGUAGGUCCCGAGCGUUGUCCGGAUUUAUUGGGCGUAAAGCGAGCGCAGGCGGUUUAAUAAGUCUGAAGUUAAAGGCAGUGGCUUAACCAUUGUUCGCUUUGGAAACUGUUAAACUUGAGUGCAGAAGGGGAGAGUGGAAUUCCAUGUGUAGCGGUGAAAUGCUUAGAUAUAUGGAGGAACACCGGUGGCGAAAGCGGCUCUCUGGUCUGUAACUGACGCUGAGGCUCGAAAGCGUGGGGAGCAAACAGG
This 429-nucleotide ribosomal RNA is filed under the name bacterium. Its description in RNAcentral is "partial 16S ribosomal RNA". It matches the Rfam family "Bacterial small subunit ribosomal RNA", at positions 355 to 776 of the family's 1533-position model. The record is from RNAcentral.